GCAUGUGUGUAUUUUGGGGAAGAGCCACACUCAAGGGGCCAAAGAGCCGGAUGUGGCUCGAGAACCGCAGUUGGCCGACCACGGCUACACCAUCGGCCC
Long non-coding RNA from Myotis davidii, 99 nucleotides. RefSeq lists it as uncharacterized. Lineage: Eukaryota; Metazoa; Chordata; Mammalia; Chiroptera; Vespertilionidae. The record is from RefSeq and is a predicted model, not a curated record. The transcript has 3 exons.